RNAcentral lists this long non-coding RNA (681 nucleotides) under Brachypodium distachyon (stiff brome). RNAcentral's name for it is "long non-coding RNA (BDIS_LNC005716)". Lineage: Eukaryota; Viridiplantae; Streptophyta; Magnoliopsida; Poales; Poaceae. The record is from RNAcentral.
UUGAGCUCUCCCUUGGUGUGAGGAGAUCGGGGAUUGGAUUGGGAGCCUUCAAUUGAGUUGUGGAGUUAGCCCCCGUCAAGUUUGUAAAGGUUUGGACUUCGCCCCCAAGGAAGCCACUAGUGGAGCUCACAUUACCUUUGUGGUGUCGUGAGAGGAGAAUAGAGUGAGCCUUUGUGGCGCCUCUACCUUUGUGGUAGAGCACUCCUCCAAACGGAGAUGUACACCUACCCCAAUCGGUGGAACUCCGGUGAAAAUCUUCAUCUCUCAUGUGGUAUCUAUUCUUAUCCUUUACAUUCUUGUUAUCUUGUUGCUUCGGCUAUUGCACUUCAUACUAGGGUUGCAUUCACUUUAGAGAAUCUAGUGAGCCCUAGGAUUAAGUGCUUUCAAGAAAAGAAAAAUAAAAAGUAAAAUUUGAUAGUCGCCUAUUCACCACCCCCUCUAGCCGACCAAACCGAUCUUUCAAUUGGUAUCAGAGCCUCAUCUCUUAAUUAGGGCUUUACCGCUCUUAAGAGUAUGGGCGGCAAUGGUGGGGACCCCGUUGAAAAACUAAUAGCACCCGAGGGUAUAGAUGAUAAUGCCCCACUCACUCUUAAGUCUAUCCAAUUGCUUUUGAAUAGCUUACAAGAGGUGUUACUUGAAAAGGUUGAUGAAAAGAUUAGCGAGCACCUAGCUCCCAAACCC